Etheostoma spectabile (orangethroat darter) is the source of this 268-nucleotide long non-coding RNA. RefSeq lists it as uncharacterized. NCBI's taxonomy places the organism in Eukaryota, Metazoa, Chordata, Actinopteri, Perciformes, Percidae. The record is from RefSeq and is a predicted model, not a curated record. The transcript is spliced from 3 exons.
CAACAAGCUGCUCCACAUCUCUGGAUACAGCUUGGAGCACUUGAACACAUGGCGAAGCAGGACCGCCAGUUAUAACCGUCUGCGUGACGGUGGGCUCCGGUGUGUUCAGGGCCUCUCCAGGCUUAGACACAUCUCACCUGCACAACAACACGAGUUGUGCAGCGUGGGAGCCUGAAUCUGCGCCUGGACUAGAGGUGCUCCAGCUGAGUACAACAACAUCUCCUACAUAAGAACGACGCCCUGGCCCCUCUCUACCCCUGGCGGUCCU